Molecule: RNA transcript, 1238 nt
Organism: Neofelis nebulosa (Clouded leopard)
Lineage: Eukaryota; Metazoa; Chordata; Mammalia; Carnivora; Felidae
Gene: CCDC198
Gene name: coiled-coil domain containing 198
Exons: 7
Source: RefSeq, a predicted model, not a curated record
CUUUGGGUCUGAAAUGGCAGAGUGGGAGUUGAAGGGACAUCUCCGUGGAAACCAGGCUCCCAGGAAGUGGCCAGAGGGGUUACUGUGGGGUGAAAUAAAGCUUAGAAAUAUGUCAUGAAGUGCUUUGCGCAGCUGGGGUAAAAUUCUGAAGUACCUUAAUUAAAACAAGCCAAGUUAAAGGCCCCACACCACUUCCCUCGUGGUUGUUCUUUGAGUAUCUUUACCGUGAAAUGGGCCUGAGCCACUCUAAGCCUCACCCUAGAGUGACCAAAGUAGCACCUUUGCAAAACAAAGAGGAAGAACUCCCCUCUUCCAGCCCCGUGGACUUUGCAUUCAGUCAGAAUCUGGAAGAAAAGAGUUCGUAUUUGUUCACAGGACUGCAGGACCAGAACAAAGCUCUGGAAGGUCAGCUGCCGCCUCUACGAGAGACCUGGUAUGGAAGAUACUCUGCAGUGCCCAGGGCCAUGUAUUUUGAUAUCCCACUGGAACACGGAGAAACAAGUAUUAUUAAAAGGCAUCCACCCCGAAGACUUCAAAAGCUUGAACCCAUUGACCUGCCACAAGUAAUUACUUCUGAAAGGCUCCUGAGCCAGCAAGAAGCCAGAACAACUCACAGAGCAAAGCAGGAACUGGAAAAGACAAUGCCAACUCCAGGAUACAUUCCCGGGAAAAGACAAUAUUUACAUAAGAUGAGAAUGUUGGAAAUGAACCGGAACAGACAAGAGGCCCAAGCAGAGUUGAAAAACAGUCUUCACAGGGAGGCAAGGAUUAAUAAGCAAAAACCGAGGGACCAUAAAGCCAAGAAAAUCCUUCAAAGCAUCCCAAGAAAUGAUGGCAGGGACCUUCCAACCUUUUUGCCAGAUGAAACCUUGAACAGAAGUCCAGACCCGCUUCCUGGCUUUGGUGCCUAUGCAAUAGUACAGACAACAAACAAUGACAGUACAUCCGGGAGACCUCACAACCUGAAAGUCAGAAGGUUUCCAUGAGGAACUGAUAUUUGAGCUGAGACAGGAAGUAGCUGGACAAAGGGGACAGGAAUCCAUAUCUGUGUGAGGACCAAGGUGCUGGAACAUUCAGAACUGUUCACGAUUAUAGCAUGCGCAAAAGCUCUUGACUGGGAAGAGAGAUUCAGGAAAUUCACAGAAUGAAGAUUUGGGGGAACAUCAAGCAAGGAAUGACUGUCGCCCCCGGAAAAUUGGCAAAAUGGAAAUGUGGCUCCGUGAACAAGAGGCUCGGGG